UACGUAGGGGGCGAGCGUUGUCCGGAAUUACUGGGCGUAAAGCGCGUGUAGGCGGCUAUUUAAGUCUGAUGUGAAAGCCCGGGGCUCAACCUCGGAAGUGCAUUGGAAACUGGAUAGCUUGAGUACGGGAGAGGGUGGCGGAAUUCCAGGUGUAGGAGUGAAAUCCGUAGAUAUCUGGAGGAACAUCAGUGGCGAAGGCGGCCACCUGGACCGAUACUGACGCUGAGGCGCGAAAGCUAGGGGAGCGAACAGG
RNAcentral lists this ribosomal RNA (253 nucleotides) under uncultured bacterium. RNAcentral's name for it is "partial 16S ribosomal RNA". It matches the Rfam family "Bacterial small subunit ribosomal RNA", at positions 524 to 776 of the family's 1533-position model. The record is from RNAcentral.